GCUGGGCGUGGUGUCGGGCGCCUGUAAUCCCAGCUACUCAGGAGGCUGAGGCAGGAGAAUCGCUUGAACCCAGGAGGCAGAGGUUGUAGUGAGCAGAGAUCGUACCACUACACUUCAGCCUGGGCGACAGAGCGAGACUCCGUCUCAA
RNAcentral lists this small RNA (148 nucleotides) under Macaca mulatta (Rhesus monkey). RNAcentral's name for it is "Metazoan signal recognition particle RNA (ENSMMUG00000054764.1)". Lineage: Eukaryota; Metazoa; Chordata; Mammalia; Primates; Cercopithecidae. The record is from Rfam by way of RNAcentral.